RNAcentral lists this ribosomal RNA (253 nucleotides) under uncultured bacterium. Its description in RNAcentral is "partial 16S ribosomal RNA". It matches the Rfam family "Bacterial small subunit ribosomal RNA", at positions 524 to 776 of the family's 1533-position model. The record is from RNAcentral.
UACGGGGGGGGCAAGCGUUGUUCGGAAUUACUGGGCGUAAAGGGCUCGUAGGUGGCCAACUAAGUCAGACGUGAAAUCCCUCGGCUUAACCGGGGAACUGCGUCUGAUACUGGAUGGCUCGAGUUUGGGAGAGGGAUGCGGAAUUCCAGGUGUAGCGGUGAAAUGCGUAGAUAUCUGGAGGAACACCGGUGGCGAAGGCGGCAUCCUGGACCAAUACUGACGCUGAAUAGCGAAAGCCAGGGGAGCAAACGGG